Molecule: long non-coding RNA, 231 nt
Filed under: Capsella rubella
Lineage: Eukaryota; Viridiplantae; Streptophyta; Magnoliopsida; Brassicales; Brassicaceae
Description: long non-coding RNA (CRUB_LNC001471)
Source: RNAcentral
AUGCAUAAAAAUAAUUAAUUCAAUUAUGUCUAAAAUCCUAAAAACUACAUCUCGUGUAUGGUAUUAGCAUCUGGUUUGGUCUUACAACUUGAUGAUAAGAAUUUUCAUUACCAUGAUUUUAUCUUAGAUGAUAUAAAAACUAUUUGACCAAAAAAAAAAAAGAUGAUAUAAAAACUAAUAUAUUUUUUACUGAUUAAGAUUAGUAAUCGUAAUAUAAUCGAUGAAUGUCAC